Molecule: non-coding RNA, 88 nt
Filed under: Luteibacter rhizovicinus
Lineage: Bacteria; Pseudomonadati; Pseudomonadota; Gammaproteobacteria; Lysobacterales; Rhodanobacteraceae
Source: RNAcentral
GUUUACGGCGGGCGUGUCGGGCAGGCUUCGGCCUGGCCGGGUUUUGGUCUAGGCGACCGGUUUCGACCCCGACACGUCCGCCACCUCG